AAGUCGUAACAAGGUUUCCGUAGGUGAACCUGCGGAAGGAUCAUUAGCGAAGUUCGGAAUGCCGGUUCGGUGCUGCAGCUGCCCAGCGAUGGGAUGUGCUUGUCCGGGCCGGUGUCCCUUCUCUAUUCCACCCCACUGUGAACCAAGCGUGCGAGCAGAAGAGAGAUCGGAAGCUCGCAUGCACACUUUAACAUACCCCUUAUGAAGUAUCUGAAUGUACCUUGCGUUAACUCGCACAAAUACAACUUUCAACAACGGAUCUCUUGGCUCUC
RNAcentral lists this unclassified non-coding RNA (272 nucleotides) under Peniophora laxitexta. RNAcentral's name for it is "partial internal transcribed spacer region". The stretch from base 1 to 46 matches the Rfam family "Eukaryotic small subunit ribosomal RNA", at positions 1786 to 1831 of the family's 1831-position model. The record is from RNAcentral. Lineage: Eukaryota; Fungi; Basidiomycota; Agaricomycetes; Russulales; Peniophoraceae.